UAGGGAAUCUUCCACAAUGGACGCAAGUCUGAUGGAGCAACGCCGCGUGAGUGAAGAAGGGUUUCGGCUCGUAAAGCUCUGUUGUUGGUGAAGAAGGACAGGGGUAGUAACUGACCUUUGUUUGACGGUAAUCAAUUAGAAAGUCACGGCUAACUACGUGCCAGCAGCCGCGGUAAUACGUAGGUGGCAAGCGUUGUCCGGAUUUAUUGGGCGUAAAGCGAGUGCAGGCGGCUCGAUAAGUCUGAUGUGAAAGCCUUCGGCUCAACCGGAGAAUUGCAUCAGAAACUGUCGAGCUUGAGUACAGAAGAGGAGAGUGGAACUCCAUGUGUAGCGGUGAAAUGCGUAGAUAUAUGGAAGAACACCGGUGGCGAAGGCGGCUCUCUGGUCUGUUACUGACGCUGAGGCUCGAAAGCAUGGGUAGCGAACAGGAUUAGAUACCCUGGUAGUCCAUGCCGUAAACGAUGAGUGCUAAGUGUUGGGAGGUUUCCGCCUCUCAGUGCUGCAGCUAACGCAUUAAGCACUCCGCCUGGGGAGUACGACCGCAAGGUUGAAACUCAAAGGAAUUGACGGGGGCCCGCACAAGCGGUGGAGCAUGUGGUUUAAUUCGAAGCAACGCGAAGAACCUUACCAGGUCUUGACAUCCAUAGCCAGUCUAAGAGAUUAGAUGUUCCCUUCGGGGACUAUGAGACAGGUGGUGCAUGGCUGUCGUCAGCUCGUGUCGUGAGAUGUUGGGUUAAGUCCCGCAACGAGCGCAACCCUUGUCAUUAGUUGCCAGCAUUAAGUUGGGCACUCUAAUGAGACUGCCGGUGACAAACCGGAGGAAGGUGGGGAUGACGUCAAGUCAUCAUGCCCCUUAUGACCUGGGCUACACACGUGCUACAAUGGACGGUACAACGAGAAGCGACCCUGUGAAGGCAAGCGGAUCUCUGAAAGCCGUUCUCAGUUCGGAUUGCAGGCUGCAACUCGCCUGCAUGAAGCUGGAAUCGCUAGUAAUCGCAAAUCAGCACGUUGCGGUGAAUACGUUCCCGGGCCU
RNAcentral lists this ribosomal RNA (1033 nucleotides) under uncultured Lactobacillus sp. Its description in RNAcentral is "bacterial SSU rRNA". It matches the Rfam family "Bacterial small subunit ribosomal RNA", at positions 355 to 1381 of the family's 1533-position model. The record is from RNAcentral. Lineage: Bacteria; Bacillati; Bacillota; Bacilli; Lactobacillales; Lactobacillaceae.